CCUANGGGGGGCAGCAAUUAGGAAUUUUGCGCAAUGGGCGAAAGCCUGACGCAGCGACGCCGCGUGACCGAUGACGUCCUUCGGGAUGUAAAGGUCUUUUCUGGGGGAAGAAAAAAAUGACGGUACCCCAGGAAUAAGCCCCGGCUAACUACGUGCCAGCAGCCGCGGUGAUACGUGGGGGGCGAGCGUUGUCCGGAUUUACUGGGCGUAAAGCGCGCGUAGGCGGCCUACUAAGUCGAGUGUGAAAGGUUGGAGCUCAACUCCAAGACUGCGCUUGAUACUGGUGGGCUAGAGGCAAGGAGAGGGAAGUGGAAUUCCUGGUGUAGCGGUGAAAUGCGUAGAUAUCAGGAGGAACACCCGUGGCGAAGGCGGCUUCCUGGCCUUGUUCUGACGCUGAGGUGCGAAAGCCAGGGGAGCGAACGGGAUUAGAUACCCCANUANUC
RNAcentral lists this ribosomal RNA (443 nucleotides) under uncultured bacterium. RNAcentral's name for it is "bacterial SSU rRNA". It matches the Rfam family "Bacterial small subunit ribosomal RNA", at positions 338 to 795 of the family's 1533-position model. The record is from RNAcentral.